GCGGGGGUUGUGGGGGGAGUGUGAUGACGAGGAAAGGAACCAAAAGAAGAAACAACUUACUGUAAUCAUAGUCAUGUUCAAUCAGACACCUGCUAUUAAGAUGAUAAAUACACUUUUCCCAGUGUGAGUCCGGACACACUGAGUACCCCUAAGGCACUGUUCUGCUCUUUAACUACCUACUCUGCCUGGCUUCUUCACUCUCCUCCCAUUAACUCGCAUUUCAGCCGGUCUCACAAGACGUCCCGAAAUCCGCUCCUUAUAGAGCACUGCAUGAUGGACUAAAUGUAGUCCUCGACAGUGGGACUGAGAACAGGUUCGGUGAGUGGUUUUUCUUGCUUUUGGACAAUGAAAGGAGAGGGAGUUGGGAACAUUUUUAGUCCAUUACUCCCAUCGGUGCCCACAUGCUGGUGACGGGGCCAAGAGGAUGCCUCCUGUAGAGAAUCUUACUCAGCGCAGUGUCACGGCCGCUGUGACACCUGAUAAACAUUAAGUACAGGCUGCUAUUCCUAAGUGCUGUUGUUGUUUUUUAAAAAUUCAUAUUAUUUCUUCUUAUUAAUGUUCAACGGCUGUCUUGCAACUAGGCUGUCAGCGAUAAAACACCGCUGUGAGAUGUGAUGAGGGGAAAUGGGAUGAUUUUCUGCACUAGAAGAGCAUACAGCUAGACCAUGUUUAAGAUUUUCAAGUGGCGUUCUUGUUGUAAUUGGGGAAAUACAUGUGAUUAAAUAUCCACAGUCUUUUCUGUAUU
Long non-coding RNA from Thalassophryne amazonica, 745 nucleotides. RefSeq lists it as uncharacterized. The record is from RefSeq and is a predicted model, not a curated record. The transcript has 2 exons. Lineage: Eukaryota; Metazoa; Chordata; Actinopteri; Batrachoidiformes; Batrachoididae.